GACGAACGCUGGCGGCGUGCUUAACACAUGCAAGUCGAACGCUGAAGCUCAGCUUUUGUUGGGUGGAUGAGUGGCGAACGGGUGAGUAACACGUGAGUAACCUGCCUCCUUCUUUGGGAUAACGCCCGGAAACGGGUGCUAAUACUGGAUAUUCACUGGUCUUCGCAUGGGGGUUGGUGGAAAGGGUUUUUCUGGUGGGGGAUGGGCUCGCGGCCUAUCAGCUUGUUGGUGGGGUGAUGGCCUACCAAGGCUUUGACGGGUAGCCGGCCUGAGAGGGUGACCGGUCACAGUGGGACUGAGAUACGGCCCAGACUCCUACGGGAGGCAGCAGUGGGGAAUAUUGCACAAUGGGCGCAAGCCUGAUGCAGCGACGCCGCGUGAGGGAUGGAGGCCUUCGGGUUGUGAACCUCUUUCGCUCAUGGUCAAGCCGCAACAAUGGUUGUGGUGAGGGUAGUGGGUAAAGAAGCGCCGGCUAACUACGUG
Molecule: ribosomal RNA, 483 nt
Filed under: uncultured bacterium
Lineage: Bacteria
Description: partial 16S ribosomal RNA
Rfam family: Bacterial small subunit ribosomal RNA
Source: RNAcentral